UAAUACGAAGGGGGCGAGCGUUGUUCGGAAUUACUGGGCUUAAAGCGUGCGUAGGCGGACUUGUAAGUCAGAAGUGAAAGCCCUGGGCUUAACCCAGGAAUUGCUUUUGAGACUGCAAGUCUAGAAACCGGAAGAGGUUGAGGGAAUAUCCAGUGUAGAGGUGAAAUUCGCAGAUAUUGGAUAGAACACCAGUGGCGAAGGCGCUCAACUGGUCCGGUAUUGACGCUGAGGCACGAAAGCGUGGGUAGCAAACAGG
RNAcentral lists this ribosomal RNA (256 nucleotides) under uncultured bacterium. Its description in RNAcentral is "partial 16S ribosomal RNA". It matches the Rfam family "Bacterial small subunit ribosomal RNA", at positions 521 to 776 of the family's 1533-position model. The record is from RNAcentral.